ACUCUUUGGUCAAAUGUACAACAAAGAGCAGAAAUGAAGAUGAUUAAUGAUUCCACAAAUAACUUACAACAGUGGUGGAAAGUACAAAUGCCACACCUGCUGUCCUUACAGGAUUAUGAUGAUAUGCGACGACACAAUGGCUUCUACAGAGAGAAGAAGUGGAGAGUGGAAAGCAGCUGGGAAACUCAUGAAUCUUUGCUGAAGGCUUACAGAUAUAGGAAGAAGAGGUGAAUGUAAAACUACAAGAGCCAUUCAUGGAACUUUGUCUUGUCCCAAACCAACACUACUGCAGCUCAAGUCCUACCUCACUACUCUGGGUGGACUUGAGGACUCUCCACCCUCAGAUCUAAUCCUAAUGACAGGAGACAAGACAGAAAGGUUGUCCUUCCUCCUUGUGAUGAAACCUACACAGCUCCUUCCUACUUCAUGUCCCAGGAUGAAGGGCAGGGAAAAUAGCACCUCUCUGGGAAAAUCUGCAUGGGCACAAGGAAGGGUUUCCCUAUGUAGCCCUGGCUGGCCUUGAACACAUGGUGAUCCUCUUGCCUCAACCUCCCAUGGACUGGGAUUCCAGGCACGCACUGCCACACCUGACUAAAAUCUGGUUGGAAAGUUCCCUGACCCAGCAGCUCUUUCAUUCUGCAUGCUAGUAAAACCACACCACCUGGAUGAUACCAUGGUUUGUUUGCUGUCAGUAGAAGCAGUAGCCAGGCCUCCUUAGAUCAUGGCUAUGACACCUUCUGAGUACCUGGAUGACCAAGCACAGUAAAAUCAAUCCAAGGAAACCAAUUUCCUGGAGGUCCUUCUUGAGCAGGGGUCCCAGGAACUGUCUUCUCAAAAGAGAAGUUGAUACUUUUGAACACUUGAGCCUGAUGUGGAAAGUGCUGCCAAACAAUUUGGAGAAAAUAAUUACUGUAGCACAUCUGUCCAUGAACUGUAAACCAGUUUAAAAUAACAAUAUAGCAGAAAGAUGUUGUUUUUGUGCUUUGUACAGGCUAACCACUGAAGCUCCGUCUGGGUCCACUUGUCCCUG
Heterocephalus glaber (naked mole-rat) is the source of this 1030-nucleotide long non-coding RNA. NCBI's taxonomy places the organism in Eukaryota, Metazoa, Chordata, Mammalia, Rodentia, Bathyergidae. The record is from Ensembl.